GGGGAGCGCCGCUAUCUGCAGUAGACGCUGAGGUUUGGUGUUUACACUAGACUGAUGAGUUGCGAACGGGUGAGUAACGCGUAGGUAACCUGCCUCAUAGCGGGGGAUAACUAUUGGAAACGAUAGCUAAUACCGCAUAAGAGUAAUUAACACAUGUUAGUUAUUUAAAAGGAGCAAUUGCUUCACUGUGAGAUGGACCUGCGUUGUAUUAGCUAGUUGGUGAGGUAAAGGCUCACCAAGGCGACGAUACAAAGCCGACCUGAGAGGGUGAUCGGCCACACUGGGACUGAGACACGGCCCAGACUCCUACGGGAGGCAGCAGUAGGGAAUCUUCGGCAAUGGACGGAAGUCUGACCGAGCAACGCCGCGUGAGUGAAGAAGGUUUUCGGAUCGUAAAGCUCUGUUGUUAGAGAAGAACGUUGGUAGGAGUGGAAAAUCUACCAAGUGACGGUAACUAACCAGAAAGGGACGGCUAACUACGUGCCAGCAGCCGCGGUAAUACGUAGGUCCCGAGCGUUGUCCGGAUUUAUUGGGCGUAAAGCGAGCGCAGGCGGUUCUUUAAGUCUGAAGUUAAAGGCAGUGGCUUAACCAUUGUACGCUUUGGAAACUGGAGGACUUGAGUGCAGAAGGGGAGAGUGGAAUUCCAUGUGUAGCGGUGAAAUGCGUAGAUAUAUGGAGGAACACCGGUGGCGAAAGCGGCUCUCUGGUCUGUAACUGACGCUGAGGCUCGAAAGCGUGNNGGAGCAACAGGAUUAGAUACCCUGGUAGUCCACGCCGUAAACGAUGAGUGCUAGGUGUUAGGCCCUUUUCCGGGCUUAGUGCCCGCAGCUACGCAUUAAGCACUCCGCCUG
RNAcentral lists this ribosomal RNA (851 nucleotides) under Streptococcus agalactiae. RNAcentral describes it as "bacterial SSU rRNA". It matches the Rfam family "Bacterial small subunit ribosomal RNA", at positions 39 to 875 of the family's 1533-position model. Lineage: Bacteria; Bacillati; Bacillota; Bacilli; Lactobacillales; Streptococcaceae. The record is from RNAcentral.